GGUUAACCGUAUAGGGGAGCCGAAGGGAAACCGAGUCUUAACUGGGCGUUAAGUUGCAGGGUAUAGACCCGAAACCCGGUGAUCUAGCCAUGGGCAGGUUGAAGGUUGGGUAACACUAACUGGAGGACCGAACCGACUAAUGUUGAAAAAUUAGCGGAUGACUUGUGGCUGGGGGUGAAAGGCCAAUCAAACCGGGAGAUAGCUGGUUCUCCCCGAAAGCUAUUUAGGUAGCGCCUCGUGAACUCAUCUUCGGGGGUAGAGCACUGUUUCGGCUAGGGGGUCAUCCCGACUUACCAACCCGAUGCAAACUGCGAAUACCGAAGAAUGUUAUCACGGGAGACACACGGCGGGUGCUAACGUCCGUCGUGAAGAGGGAAACAACCCAGACCGCCAGCUAAGGUCCCAAAGUCAUGGUUAAGUGGGAAACGAUGUGGGAAGGCACAGACAGCCAGGAUGUUGGCUUAGAAGCAGCCAUCAUUUAAAGAAAGCGUAAUAGCUCACUGGUCGAGUCGGCCUGCGCGGAAGAUGUAACGGGGCUAAACCAUGCACCGAAGCUGCGGCAGCGACACUAUGUGUUGUUGGGUAGGGGAGCGUUCUGUAAGCCGUUGAAGGUGGCCUGUGAGGGUUGCUGGAGGUAUCAGAAGUGCGAAUGCUGACAUAAGUAACGAUAAUGCGGGUGAAAAACCCGCACGCCGGAAGACCAAGGGUUCCUGUCCAACGUUAAUCGGGGCAGGGUGAGUCGACCCCUAAGGCGAGGCCGAAAGGCGUAGUCGAUGGGAAACAGGUUAAUAUUCCUGUACUUGGUGUUACUGCGAAGGGGGGACGGAGAAGGCUAUGUUAGCCGGGCGACGGUUGUCCCGGUUUAAGCAUGUAGGCGGAGGUUCCAGGUAAAUCCGGUACCUUUUAACGCUGAGGUGUGAUGACGAGGCACUACGGUGCUGAAGUAACAAAUGCCCUGCUUCCAGGAAAAGCCUCUAAGCAUCAGGUAACACGAAAUCGUACCCCAAACCGACACAGGUGGUCAGGUAGAGAAUACCAAGGCGCUUGAGAGAACUCGGGUGAAGGAACUAGGCAAAAUGGUGCCGUAACUUCGGGAGAAGGCACGCUGAUAUGUAGGUGAAGUGAUUUACUCAUGGAGCUGAAAUCAGUCGAAGAUACCAGCUGGCUGCAACUGUUUAUUAAAAACACAGCACUGUGCAAACACGAAAGUGGACGUAUACGGUGUGACGCCUGCCCGGUGCCGGAAGGUUAAUUGAUGGGGUUAUCCGUAAGGAGAAGCUCUUGAUCGAAGCCCCGGUAAACGGCGGCCGUAACUAUAACGGUCCUAAGGUAGCGAAAUUCCUUGUCGGGUAAGUUCCGACCUGCACGAAUGGCGUAAUGAUGGCCAGGCUGUCUCCACCCGAGACUCAGUGAAAUUGAACUCGCUGUGAAGAUGCAGUGUACCCGCGGCAAGACGGAAAGACCCCGUGAACCUUUACUAUAGCUUGACACUGAACACUGGUCCUUGAUGUGUAGGAUAGGUGGGAGGCUUUGAAGUGUGGACGCCAGUCUGCAUGGAGCCAUCCUUGAAAUACCACCCUUUAAUGGCUGGUGUUCUAACGUGGACCCGUUACCCGGGUUGCGGACAGUGUCUGGUGGGUAGUUUGACUGGGGCGGUCUCCUCCUAAAGAGUAACGGAGGAGCACGAAGGUUAGCUAAUCCUGGUCGGACAUCAGGAGGUUAGUGCAAAGGCAUAAGCUAGCUUGACUGCGAGAGUGACGGCUCGAGCAGGUGCGAAAGCAGGUCUUAGUGAUCCGGUGGUUCUGAAUGGAAGGGCCAUCGCUCAACGGAUAAAAGGUACUCCGGGGAUAACAGGCUGAUACCGCCCAAGAGUUCAUAUCGACGGCGGUGUUUGGCACCUCGAUGUCGGCUCAUCACAUCCUGGGGCUGAAGUAGGUCCCAAGGGUAUGGCUGUUCGCCAUUUAAAGUGGUACGCGAGCUGGGUUUAGAACGUCGUGAGACAGUUCGGUCCCUAUCUGCCGUGGGCGCUGGAGAAUUGAGGGGGGCUGCUCCUAGUACGAGAGGACCGGAGUGGACGCAUCACUGGUGUUCGGGUUGUCAUGCCAAUGGCAUUGCCCGGUAGCUAAAUGCGGAAGAGAUAAGUGCUGAAAGCAUCUAAGCACGAAACUUGCCCCGAGAUGAGUUCUCCCUGA
This 2192-nucleotide ribosomal RNA is filed under the name Citrobacter sp. Cf042. Its description in RNAcentral is "partial 23S ribosomal RNA". It matches the Rfam family "Bacterial large subunit ribosomal RNA", at positions 644 to 2818 of the family's 2925-position model. Lineage: Bacteria; Pseudomonadati; Pseudomonadota; Gammaproteobacteria; Enterobacterales; Enterobacteriaceae. The record is from RNAcentral.